This 1449-nucleotide ribosomal RNA is filed under the name Triticum aestivum (bread wheat). RNAcentral's name for it is "partial small subunit ribosomal RNA". Lineage: Eukaryota; Viridiplantae; Streptophyta; Magnoliopsida; Poales; Poaceae. The record is from RNAcentral.
AUGGCUUCCACCGAGAAUUCCCCAUCCCCAUCCAUGGCGUCCACCUCCGUCGUCACCCUCAACGUCGGCGGCGAGCUCUUCCAGACCACCGCAGCCACCCUCUCCCGCGCAGGCGCUUCCUCCCCUCUCGCCUCCCUUGGCCCCUCACCCGCCGACGCGCCACACUUCCUCGACCGCGACCCUCGCCUGUUCGCCGGCAUCCUCUCCUUCCUCCGCAGUGGCCGCCUCGCGUCUCCUCCUCCCUCCGCCGCUCUCCUCGCCGAGGCUCGGCACUUCUCACUCGACGGCCUCCUCCUCGCCUCCCUCUCCCCGGCGUCCACCUUCUCCCCCCUCUCUCUGCGCCCCACCGCCCUCCUUCCCCUCACCGGCCGCGUCGCUCCCUCCGCCGUGGCCAUAUCCCCCUCCCCGCACGCGGCCUCCCUCGUCGCCGCGCACGGCGGGGUCGUCACCAGCUUUGACGCCGUGCUCGCCUCCCGCACCAGCGUCCUGACGCCGCUCCCCACCAUCGACUCGCUCGUCGCGGUGUCCCCCGCCCUCGCCCUCGCUGGCGCCCGCGACUUUCCUGGCGUCCAGCUCUGCAGGUUCCCGGGCGACGCCCCUGCCACGGCUUCGGAGGCUCUAUAUUGGCCAGACUCGCCUUCUUCUUCUGUGCUGUCUAUGGCCGCCACAGCGGCCUCAGAAACGGCGUCACAGUGGCUAUUUGCCAGCUUCGAGUCCGCGCGACGGAAUUCGAGCGCCGUGGUGGCGUUCGAUCUGAAUUCUCUGUCACCUGUGCUGGAAAUCGGGAGGAAGGAGGUGUUCGGUGCGGACGUCGAGGCAGCAAUACCACCGACCAAGCUCAGUUGGCUUGCUGGGCACAAUCUCUUGCUUGCGGCCGGAUCACACUCCGGGCCGGCUGGAAUGGUGGGUGACAUACGCCUGUGGGACGUCCGGGCAAGCUCGACGGUGCCGGUGUGGGAGGUGAGGGAGAAGGAGGAUUGCUUUGCAGAUGUUGCUGCAUCAGACUCACUGUCGGCAUUGUUUAAGGUGGGGGCUGCCUCAGGUGAGGUUUUCAUGGCUGACUUGAGGAGACUUAGUGGUGAUGGCACCAGUGUUGAUCCUUGGGUGUGCAUCGGAGACCGACAAAGGGCCGGAGCUGUCACAGCAUCUCGCAGGAAGGAUGGGAAUAACUGUAGAAUUGAGUGCUACCGUAAUUGGGUGUUUGUGGCACGGGACGCAUAUGUUGAGGUGUGGACACAGGUGGAAAUUACAUCAGAGGCUGGGGAGAAGAAGGCGAUGAGGAAGAACUGGGUAGGGAAUGGGCCAUCGAUGGUCACUGCAGACGGCGAGGAGAAGGCCAAGAUCGUGAGCUGGGCCUUCGGAGGCAGCAGGAUGGCAUUGGCUAGAGUUGAUCAUCGGUCUAUUGAGGUGUGGGAUAGUGCUUCUGGGGCAAUAUCAGGUAAUCUCUGA